CACACAUGGCACAUUUGAAGCAUUAGACUAGCAUCUGCCUUUUAUAACCUCUCUUGUUAUAAUUCAUCUCAGACCACCACUGGCAUAGUGCAUGAUGAUGCCAGUUAAGAUGAGGUGUAGGAUAUAUGAUUCCAGGUGGGAUUGGGUGUAGGAUGUAUGAUUCCAGGUAGAAUUGGGUGUAGGGUAUAUGAUUCCAGGUAGGAUUUGGGUGCAGUAUAUAUGAUUCCAGGUAGUAUUGGGUGUAGGAUAUAUGAUUCCAGGUAGAAUUGGGUGUAGUAUGUAGGAUUGGGUGUAGGAUAUAUGAUUCCAGGUAGAAUUGGGUGUAGGAUGUAGGAUUGGGUGUAGGAUAUAUGAUUCCAGGUAGAAUUGGGUGUAGGGUAUAUGAUUCCAGGUAGGAUUGGGUGUAGGGUAUAUGAUUCCAGGUAGGAUUGGGUGUAGGGUAUAUGAUUCCAGGUAGGAUUGGGUGUAGGAUGUAUGAUUCCAGGUAGGAUUGGGUGUAGGAUAUAUGAUUCCAGGUAGGAUUGGGUGUAGGGUAUAUGAUUCCAGGUAGGAUUGGGUGUAGGGUAUAUGAUUCCAGGUAGGAUUGGGUGUAGGAUGUAUGAUUCCAGGUAGGAUUGGGUGUAGGAUAUAUGAUUCCAGGUAGGAUUGGCUGUAGGGUAUAUGAUUCCAGUUAGGAUUGGGUGUAGGAUAUAUGAUUCCAGGUAGAAUUGGGUGUAGGAUGUAUGAUUCCAGGUAGAAUUGGGUGUAGGAUAUAUGAUUCCAGGUAGGAUUGUGUGCAGUAUAUAUGAUUCCAGGUAGUAUUGGGUGUAGGAUAUAUGAUUCCAGGUAGAAUUGGGUGUAGGGUAUAUGAUUCCAGGUAGGAUUGGGUGUAGGGUAUAUGAUUCCAGGUAGAAUUGGGUGUAGAAUAUAUGAUUCCAGGUAGGAUUGGGUGUAGGAUGUAGGAUUGGGUGUAGGAUAUAUGAUUCCAGGUAGGAUUGGGUGUAGGAUAUAUGGAUCCAGGUAGGAUUGGGUGUAGGGUAUAUGAUUCCAGGUAGGAUUGGGUGUAGGAUGUAUGAUUCCAGGUAGGAUUGGGUGUAGGGUAUAUGAUUCCGCUGUUGCUGGAGCUCUCUUUCUCGUUCCUCUCUCUUUCUCUCUCUCGCUCUUUCUCUCUCUUUCUCUCUUUCUCUCUCUAUACUUGUCUUUCUCAGGUUGUGGCGUAGUCAUACUCAUAUGUACUGAUUGUUCUGUGCUCUCUCUGUCCCUCACCAUCUCUCCCUUCCCAUCUCUCCUUCCACAUCUCUCCCUCCCCAUCCCUCUCUCCAUAG
RNAcentral lists this long non-coding RNA (1304 nucleotides) under Salmo salar (Atlantic salmon). RNAcentral's name for it is "lncRNA (ENSSSAG00000110631.1, ENSSSAG00000114733.1)". Lineage: Eukaryota; Metazoa; Chordata; Actinopteri; Salmoniformes; Salmonidae. The record is from RNAcentral.